Molecule: ribosomal RNA, 253 nt
Filed under: uncultured bacterium
Lineage: Bacteria
Description: partial 16S ribosomal RNA
Rfam family: Bacterial small subunit ribosomal RNA
Source: RNAcentral
UACGUAGGGUGCGAGCGUUGUCCGGAAUUACUGGGCGUAAAGAGCUCGUAGGUGGUUUGUCGCGUUGUUCGUGAAAACCGGGGGCUUAACCCUCGGCGUGCGGGCGAUACGGGCAGACUUGAGUACUGCAGGGGAGACUGGAAUUCCUGGUGUAGCGGUGGAAUGCGCAGAUAUCAGGAGGAACACCGAUGGCGAAGGCAGGUCACUGGGCCGCAACUGACGCUGGGGAGCGAAAGCAUGGGGAGCGAACAGG